AAGAACCUUACCAAGGCUUGACAUAUACAGGAAUACGGCAGAGAUGUCGUAGCCGCAAGGUCUGUAUACAGGUGGUGCAUGGUUGCCGUCAGCUCGUGUCGUGAGAUGUUGGGUUAAGUCCCGCAACGAGCGCAACCCUCGUUCUGUGUUGCCAGCAUUUAGUUGGGGACUCACAGGAGACUGCCGGGGUUAACUCGGAGGAAGGUGGGGAUGACGUCAAAUCAUCAUGCCCCUUAUGUCUUGGGCUGCACGCAUGCUACAAUGGCUGGUACAAACGGCUGCAAUACCGCAAGGUGGAGCGAAUCCGAGAAAGCCAGUCUCAGUUCGGAUUGGGGUCUGCAACUCGACCCCAUGAAGUCGGAGUUGCUAGUAAUCGUAGAUCAGCAACGCUACGGUGAUACGUUCCCGGGGCUUGUACACACCGCCCGUCACAUCACGAAAGUCGGUAACACCCA
RNAcentral lists this ribosomal RNA (455 nucleotides) under uncultured Actinomycetes bacterium. RNAcentral's name for it is "bacterial SSU rRNA". It matches the Rfam family "Bacterial small subunit ribosomal RNA", at positions 964 to 1423 of the family's 1533-position model. The record is from RNAcentral. Lineage: Bacteria; Bacillati; Actinomycetota; Actinomycetes.